AACUGGUGAGUAACACGUGGGAAACCUGCCCAGAAGCGGGGGAUAACACCUGGAAACAGAUGCUAAUACCGCAUAACAACUUGGACCGCAUGGUCCGAGUUUGAAAGAUGGCUUCGGCUAUCACUUUUGGAUGGUCCCGCGGCGUAUUAGCUAGAUGGUGAGGUAACGGCUCACCAUGGCAAUGAUACGUAGCCGACCUGAGAGGGUAAUCGGCCACAUUGGGACUGAGACACGGCCCAAACUCCUACGGGAGGCAGCAGUAGGGAAUCUUCCACAAUGGACGAAAGUCUGAUGGAGCAACGCCGCGUGAGUGAAGAAGGGUUUCGGCUCGUAAAACUCUGUUGUUAAAGAAGAACAUAUCUGAGAGUAACUGUUCAGGUAUUGACGGUAUUUAACCAGAAAGCCACGGCUAACUACGUGCCAGCAGCCGCGGUAAUACGUAGGUGGCAAGCGUUGUCCGGAUUUAUUGGGCGUAAAGCGAGCGCAGGCGGUUUUUUAAGUCUGAUGUGAAAGCCUUCGGCUCAACCGAAGAAGUGCAUCGGAAACUGGGAAACUUGAGUGCAGAAGAGGACAGUGGAACUCCAUGUGUAGCGGUGAAAUGCGUAGAUAUAUGGAAGAACACCAGUGGCGAAGGCGGCUGUCUGGUCUGUAACUGACGCUGAGGCUCGAAAGUAUGGGUAGCAAACAGGAUUAGAUACCCUGGUAGUCCAUACCGUAAACGAUGAAUGCUAAGUGUUGGAGGGUUUCCGCCCUUCAGUGCUGCAGCUAACGCAUUAAGCAUUCCGCCUGGGGAGUACGGCCGCAAGGCUGAAACUCAAAGGAAUUGACGGGGGCCCGCACAAGCGGUGGAGCAUGUGGUUUAAUUCGAAGCUACGCGAAGAACCUUACCAGGUCUUGACAUACUAUGCAAAUCUAAGAGAUUAGACGUUCCCUUCGGGGACAUGGAUACAGGUGGUGCAUGGUUGUCGUCAGCUCGUGUCGUGAGAUGUUGGGUUAAGUCCCGCAACGAGCGCAACCCUUAUUAUCAGUUGCCAGCAUUAAGUUGGGCACUCUGGUGAGACUGCCGGUGACAAACCGGAGGAAGGUGGGGAUGACGUCAAAUCAUCAUGCCCCUUAUGACCUGGGCUACACACGUGCUACAAUGGAUGGUACAACGAGUUGCGAACUCGCGAGAGUAAGCUAAUCUCUUAAAGCCAUUCUCAGUUCGGAUUGUAGGCUGCAACUCGCCUACAUGAAGUCGGAAUCGCUAGUAAUCGCGGAUCAGCAUGCCGCGGUGAAUACGUUCCCG
RNAcentral lists this ribosomal RNA (1288 nucleotides) under Lactobacillus delbrueckii subsp. bulgaricus. RNAcentral's name for it is "bacterial SSU rRNA". It matches the Rfam family "Bacterial small subunit ribosomal RNA", at positions 101 to 1376 of the family's 1533-position model. The record is from RNAcentral. Lineage: Bacteria; Bacillati; Bacillota; Bacilli; Lactobacillales; Lactobacillaceae.